Molecule: ribosomal RNA, 492 nt
Filed under: uncultured bacterium
Lineage: Bacteria
Description: partial 16S ribosomal RNA
Rfam family: Bacterial small subunit ribosomal RNA
Source: RNAcentral
AGUGAACGCUGGCGGUAGGCCUAACACAUGCAAGUCGAACGGCAGCACAGUAAGAGCUUGCUCUUACGGGUGGCGAGUGACGGACGGGUGAGGAAUACAUCGGAAUCUACUUUUUCGUGGGGGAUAACGUAGGGAAACUUACGCUAAUACCGCAUACGACCUACGGGUGAAAGCAGGGGAUCUUCGGACCUUGCGCGAUUGAAUGAGCCGAUGUCGGAUUAGCUAGUUGGCGGGGUAAAGGCCCACCAAGGCGACGAUCCGUAGCUGGUCUGAGAGGAUGAUCAGCCACACUGGAACUGAGACACUGUCCAGACUCCUACGGGAGGCAGCAGUGGGGAAUAUUGGACAAUGGGCGCAAGCCUGAUCCAGCCAUACCGCGUGGGUGAAGAAGGCCUUCGGGUUGUAAAGCCCUUUUGUUGGGAAAGAAAAGCAGCAGGUUAAUACCCCGCUGUUCUGACGGUACCCAAAGAAUAAGCACCGGCUAACUUCGUG